RNAcentral lists this ribosomal RNA (460 nucleotides) under uncultured bacterium. RNAcentral's name for it is "SSU rRNA". It matches the Rfam family "Bacterial small subunit ribosomal RNA", at positions 26 to 518 of the family's 1533-position model. The record is from RNAcentral.
AGAAUCAACGCUGGCGGCGUGCCUAACACAUGCAAGUCGAACGAGAAAGUGGAGCAAUCCAUGAGUAAAGUGGCGCACGGGUGAGUAACACGUGACUAACCUACCCUCGAGUGGGGAAUAACUUCGGGAAACCGAGGCUAAUACCGCAUAAUACCUAAGGGUCAAAGGAGCAAUCCGUUUGAGGAGGGGGUCGCGGCAGAUUAGUUAGUUGGCGGGGUAAUGGCCCACCAAGACGAUGAUCUGUAUCCGGCCUGAGAGGGCGCACGGACACACUGGAACUGAAACACGGUCCAGACUCCUACGGGAGGCAGCAGUGGGGAAUUUUGCGCAAUGGGGGAAACCCUGACGCAGCAACGCCGCGUGGAGGAUGAAAUCCCUUGGGAUGUAAACUCCUUUCGAUCGGGAAGAUAAUGACGGUACCGGAAGAAGAGGCCCCGGCUAACUUCGUGCCAGCAGCCGC